This 403-nucleotide ribosomal RNA is filed under the name Weissella cibaria. RNAcentral's name for it is "bacterial SSU rRNA". It matches the Rfam family "Bacterial small subunit ribosomal RNA", at positions 66 to 432 of the family's 1533-position model. Lineage: Bacteria; Bacillati; Bacillota; Bacilli; Lactobacillales; Lactobacillaceae. The record is from RNAcentral.
GCUUUGUGGUUCAACUGAUUUGAAGAGCUUGCUCAGAUAUGACGAUGGACAUUGCAAAGAGUGGCGAACGGGUGAGUAACACGUGGGAAACCUACCUCUUAGCAGGGGAUAACAUUUGGAAACAGAUGCUAAUACCGUAUAACAAUAGCAACCGCAUGGUUGCUACUUAAAAGAUGGUUCUGCUAUCACUAAGAGAUGGUCCCGCGGUGCAUUAGUUAGUUGGUGAGGUAAUGGCUCACCAAGACGAUGAUGCAUAGCCGAGUUGAGAGACUGAUCGGCCACAAUGGGACUGAGACACGGCCCAUACUCCUACGGGAGGCAGCAGUAGGGAAUCUUCCACAAUGGGCGAAAGCCUGAUGGAGCAACGCCGCGUGUGUGAUGAAGGGUUUCGGCUCGUAAAACA